RNAcentral lists this ribosomal RNA (654 nucleotides) under Triticum aestivum (bread wheat). RNAcentral describes it as "partial small subunit ribosomal RNA". The record is from RNAcentral. Lineage: Eukaryota; Viridiplantae; Streptophyta; Magnoliopsida; Poales; Poaceae.
AUGCGCGCGGAGGUAACUGCUCCGUCCGUGCACGUGAACGCCGGAAACCAGCGCUACUUUUUUGUCGACACUAGUAACAGCAGCCCAAAAAAGCGGGAGUUUGGGCCGUCGGUUUCCUCUGUUUUCUCCGCCCGUCCGUCCGUCCGUCCCUGCUGCUGCCGCCAUUCUCGCUGGCCGGCAACACGGAGAUGGAGGCCGAGAUGGAUGGAUGGAUGGAGACGAGGGCAGCAGAUGUUAGGGUAUCUUUUUUUUUUUGGGGUCAUCUCAUCAUCAGGUCUCUCCAGAAAUGUCCGUCCGUUUCCGGCCCAGGCUAGACAGGGGCAGUUUCGUCAGACGCUGCGAGUACUGGUAGAAGAUGACAAAUGGAGUGAGGGCAUGGGAGUCAAUGCGCACUCCCCCCACCAACCCCAAAACCUCAUCUGUUGGGUUCCUUGUUCAAAUUUUGUUGCUCGCCUAGAUAGCUUGCGAAGGCGUGAAAAAAAUGCCAUGCGCGCGGCGGUAACUGCUCACGUGAAAACCAUGCGUGCAUCCCUAGUAACAGCAGCACAAAAAAAGCCCGCCCCUCCCCCACCAACCCCAAAACCUCCUCCUCUGCUCUGCUGUCUGCUCUACUCUAAUCCACACUACCAAACCCACACCUCCUCCUCCAAAUAG